UGCAGUCGAGCGAGAAGCCCCUUUCGGGGGGUGGGCAGCGGCGGACGGGUGAGUAACGCGUGGGAACCUACCUAGCAGCGGGGGACAACCAUUGGAAACGAUGGCUAAUACCGCAUACGCCCUUCGGGGGAAAGAUUUAUCACUGUUAGAUGGGCCCGCGUUAGAUUAGAUAGUUGGUGGGGUAAAGGCCUACCAAGUCUACGAUCUAUAGCUGGUUUGAGAGGAUGAUCAGCCACACUGGAACUGAGACACGGUCCAGACUCCUACGGGAGGCAGCAGUAGGGAAUAUUGCACAAUGGAGGAAACUCUGAUGCAGCCAUGCCGCGUGAGUGAAGAAGGCCCUAGGGUUGUAAAGCUCUUUCAAUGGUGAAGAUGAUGACGGUAACCAUAGAAGAAGCUCCGGCUAACUUCGUGCCAGCAGCCGCGGUAAUACGAAGGGAGCUAGNGUUGUUCGGAAUUACUGGGCGUAAAGAGCACGUAGGCGGACAUAUAANUCAGGGGUGAAAUCCCGAGGCUCAACCUCGGAACUGCCCUUGAAACUAUGUGUCUAGAGACCAUGAGGGGAUAGCGGAAUACCUAGUGUAGAGGUGAAAUUCGUANAUANNNNGUGGAACACCNGUGGCGAAGGCGGCUAUCUGGCAUGGUACUGACGCUGANGUGCGAAAGCGUGGGGAGCNAACANGAUUANAUACNCNGGUAGUCCNCGCCGUNNCGAUGNUUCNUUANUCGUCGGGNAUAA
This 739-nucleotide ribosomal RNA is filed under the name uncultured bacterium. RNAcentral describes it as "partial 16S small subunit ribosomal RNA". It matches the Rfam family "Bacterial small subunit ribosomal RNA", at positions 56 to 833 of the family's 1533-position model. The record is from RNAcentral.